GUGGCCAGCAGGACCAGAGAAGCGAUUCUCUCCCUGUACUCGGCACCGCUGAGGCCACCGCUGUGCCCGAUUCUGGGCGCCUCACUCCGGGGAGGACACUGAGGAUAAUAUCACUGCUACUCUAAUGGUGAUAACUUCCUUGAAACUUCAGUAUUGGCUGUGUAUCUGCAUUUCUAGAAACAUAGGCUUCUGUUGAACAGAUGGAGAUAUUCUGCCAGCUGAUAAAGUAUUGAGUAUCCAGAGAACUAUUUGGAAAAAUGUUUGUUCAUCAUAAGGUUCCUGUACAGAAUAGUAUGUGCUUCAAAUAAGCCUCUAUAAUUUGGAAGUUUUUUCCUAAAACAAUUGUUCUUUUUAAAGAAAAUAAACCAACAAAAAACAA
This is a long non-coding RNA of Parus major (Great Tit), 379 nucleotides long. RefSeq lists it as uncharacterized. NCBI's taxonomy places the organism in Eukaryota, Metazoa, Chordata, Aves, Passeriformes, Paridae. The record is from RefSeq and is a predicted model, not a curated record. The transcript has 2 exons.